This 1207-nucleotide ribosomal RNA is filed under the name Gillisia sp. Hel_I_19. RNAcentral describes it as "bacterial SSU rRNA". It matches the Rfam family "Bacterial small subunit ribosomal RNA", at positions 100 to 1312 of the family's 1533-position model. The record is from RNAcentral. Lineage: Bacteria; Pseudomonadati; Bacteroidota; Flavobacteriia; Flavobacteriales; Flavobacteriaceae.
GCACGGGUGCGUAACGCGUAUACAAUCUACCUUGUAGAGGGGAAUAGCCCAGAGAAAUUUGGAUUAAUGCCCCAUGGUAUUAUAGGACAGCAUUGUUUUAUAAUUAAACAUUCAUGGCUACAAGAUGAGUAUGCGUUCUAUUAGUUGGUAGGUAAGGUAACGGCUUACCUAGACUUCGAUAGAUAGGGGUCCUGAGAGGGAGAUCCCCCACACUGGUACUGAGACACGGACCAGACUCCUACGGGAGGCAGCAGUGAGGAAUAUUGGACAAUGGGCGGGAGCCUGAUCCAGCCAUGCCGCGUGCAGGAAGACGGCCCUAUGGGUUGUAAACUGCUUUUAUAGAGGAAGAAACACCCCCACGUGUGGGGGCUUGACGGUACUCUACGAAUAAGGAUCGGCUAACUCCGUGCCAGCAGCCGCGGUAAUACGGAGGAUCCAAGCGUUAUCCGGAAUCAUUGGGUUUAAAGGGUCCGUAGGCGGGACGAUCAGUCAGCGGUGAAAGUCUGUGGCUCAACCAUAGAAUUGCCAUUGAUACUGUUGUUCUUGAAUACUUAUGAAGUGGUUGGAAUAUGUAGUGUAGCGGUGAAAUGCAUAGAUAUUACAUAGAACACCGAUUGCGAAGGCAGAUCACUAAUAAGUCAUUGACGCUGAUGGACGAAAGCGUGGGUAGCGAACAGGAUUAGAUACCCUGGUAGUCCACGCCGUAAACGAUGGUUACUAGCUGUUCGGGAGCAAUCCUGAGUGGCUAAGCGAAAGUGAUAAGUAACCCACCUGGGGAGUACGUUCGCAAGAAUGAAACUCAAAGGAAUUGACGGGGGCCCGCACAAGCGGUGGAGCAUGUGGUUUAAUUCGAUGAUACGCGAGGAACCUUACCAGGGCUUAAAUGUAGGUUGACAGGGGUGGAAACACCUUUUCCUUCGGGCAAUUUACAAGGUGCUGCAUGGUUGUCGUCAGCUCGUGCCGUGAGGUGUCAGGUUAAGUCCUAUAACGAGCGCAACCCCUGUUGUUAGUUGCCAGCGAGUCAAGUCGGGAACUCUAACAAGACUGCCGGUGCAAACCGUGAGGAAGGUGGGGAUGACGUCAAAUCAUCACGGCCCUUACGUCCUGGGCCACACACGUGCUACAAUGGUAGGGACAGAGAGCAGCCACUUCGCGAGAAGGAGCGAAUCUACAAACCCUAUCACAGUUCGGAUCGGAGUCUGCAACU